This is a long non-coding RNA of Sus scrofa (pig), 234 nucleotides long. RefSeq lists it as uncharacterized. The record is from RefSeq and is a predicted model, not a curated record. NCBI's taxonomy places the organism in Eukaryota, Metazoa, Chordata, Mammalia, Artiodactyla, Suidae.
CUUAGUGGCAGUAAAUCUUCAUCUCUUUGUGAGUGUAUUUGAUAUUUUGCAACAGCAACAAAUCAUUUGGAGCCAAGUCUAGUGGACAAGGACUUGUGGCUUUUGCUUCUUUGUGGUCAGAUUUUACUUCAACAACCAGCCAGUUCCAGGGAGCCUCAUCUUGUUACUGAUUUCUCCUUAACCUAGUUAAAAAAAUCAUCAUUGAAUAUUUAAAUUAAAAACUUUAAAGUUCAA